GAGGAAUCUUUUCAACUUCAGGUCUGCUCCACGGAUUGAUUGGGUAUUUUGUUGACAUUAUCUGCUGUUGCUUUAGACUUGGAGCAGAUCAAUCCAAGGAGGGUUCUCCCUGAUUAGGACCGCCUGGAAAAUUUUACAUGUAUUUAUUUAGCAGAGACAUUUAUAUAAAGCGAAAAAUGAGAAGCAUAAAUAAGUCCUGGAUGGUAGCGUAUAAACAGAUUAUUUAGUUUACAACUGCAAUUACAUAUUAUGCCAUUCGCAAUUCGCUUAAUGGGAUUGUAGUUCUUUCCAUCAUUAAAGUCGUUAAGA
This is a long non-coding RNA of Sinocyclocheilus grahami, 309 nucleotides long. RefSeq lists it as uncharacterized. The transcript has 3 exons. NCBI's taxonomy places the organism in Eukaryota, Metazoa, Chordata, Actinopteri, Cypriniformes, Cyprinidae. The record is from RefSeq and is a predicted model, not a curated record.